GGGUUAGUAGGUUGGUCAUGCCUCUGGUAUGUACUGAUCUCACUGAUUCCUCCCUCUUGACGAACUGUAAUGUCAUUAAUUUGGUGUUGCAGGAAAUCAGGACUGUUACUUUGAAAAAAUUAGAGUGUUUAAAGCAGGCUAAGGCUUGAAUACAUUAGCAUGGAAUAAUGAAAUAGGACGUUCGAACCUAUUUUGUUGGUUUCUAGGAUUGACGUAAUGAUUAAUAGGGAUAGUUGGGGGCAUUAGUAUUCAAUUGUCAGAGGUGAAAUUCUUGGAUUUAUUGAAGACUGACUACUGCGAAAGCAUUUGCCAAGGAUGUUUUCAUUAAUCAAGAACGAAAGUUAGGGGAUCGAAGACGAUCAGAUACCGUCGUAGUCUUAACCAUAAACUAUGCCGACUAGGGAUCGGAUGAUGUUAAUUUUUUAAUGACUCAUUCGGCGCCUUACGGGAAACCAAAGUGUUUGGGUUCCGGGGGGAGUAUGGUCGCAAAGCUGAAACUUAAAGGAAUUGACGGAAGGGCACCACCAGGGGUGGAGCCUGCGGCUUAAUUUGACUCAACACGGGGAAACUCACCAGGUCCAGACAUAGUAAGGAUUGACAGAUUGAGAGC
Molecule: ribosomal RNA, 610 nt
Filed under: Glomus sp. ZJ
Lineage: Eukaryota; Fungi; Glomeromycota; Glomeromycetes; Glomerales; Glomeraceae
Description: SSU rRNA
Rfam family: Eukaryotic small subunit ribosomal RNA
Source: RNAcentral